CGCCUUGGGCUCCGGGCCGCGCCGCGGGGAUGGCGGGAGCCGGAGCUGGUGCAGGAGCUCGGGGCGGCGCGCCGGCGGGAGUCGAGGCCCGCGCUCGGGACCCGCCACCCGCGCACCGCGCGCACCCUCGCCAUCCUCGGCCCGCGGCUCAGCCGUCGGCGCGCAGGAUGGACGGCGGCGCGGGCGUCCCGGGCUCCGGGGACAACGCCCCGACCACCGAGGCGCUGUUUGUGGCGCUGGGCGCGGGCGUGACCGCUCUCAGCCACCCGCUGCUCUACGUGAAGCUGCUGAUCCAGGUGGGGCGGGGGGCUCCGCGGGAGGAUGUGGAUGGGAUGUGCGGUGUC
This 344-nucleotide long non-coding RNA is filed under the name Rattus norvegicus (Norway rat). Its description in RNAcentral is "long non-coding RNA NONRATT017617". Lineage: Eukaryota; Metazoa; Chordata; Mammalia; Rodentia; Muridae. The record is from RNAcentral.